This 393-nucleotide unclassified non-coding RNA is filed under the name Hevea brasiliensis (rubber tree). Lineage: Eukaryota; Viridiplantae; Streptophyta; Magnoliopsida; Malpighiales; Euphorbiaceae. The record is from RNAcentral.
UUUAGAUGCACUUUGAUUUAAUCCAGUGGCAUUCAUAUUGUAUUGAACUCUCAUGAUAAACCUUUAAAAGGGGAGCCUUGGCGUAAUUGGUAAAGUUGUUGCUAUGUGACUAGGAGGUCACGUGUUCGAGCUGUGGAAAUAGCCUCUUGCAGAAAAUGCAGGGCAAGGUUGCGUACAAUAACCCUUCUAGUCUGGAUCUUCCCUGGACCACGUGCAUAGCAAGAGCUUAGUGCACCGAGCUGCCAUCUUUUUUUUCUCUUGAUAGACCUCGUCUGAUGCAAUUUGAAGCUCUUUCUCCUCUAUGCUAUGUUGUUCAUUAGUUGUAAUGUGUAAUUUUCUGAAACAGACUAUUUAUGGAUGUAUCCUUUGCAGGUGAGAGAUUUACUGAUGUUG